UUUGAAUCUCAGGCAUGAAAAUUAAGAGUCUGAAACAAAUGUCUUCCCACCACCUAGUAAGUGUUACCAGUAUCCCAGCCUUUAAUGGAAGUCCCCACUGCCCCUGUGCUGCCCCCUUGAUUCUGUCAUUCUGUAUUUUCAGGUAUAUUACUUGUGCCUCUCUGUUUAUUUCAACUAAAUGUAAAAAUAACGUGUUUAGCUACAAGUAACAGAAAACCUGAAUUGCAGGGGCUUACACAAUAAGUAUGCUUUUAUUUCCUCAACAAGACGCCUGGAGGUAGGUGGUUCCUGGGUAAGUUUAGCAUUUCUAUGACAUCAAGACACACGACUGCCAUCUCAUUCAGUGUUUGGCCUUCUCCUCGUGGUCACAAGAUGGUUGCCACAGCUCCAGGCCCUAUAUCACGACCAAGAGGCAGAAAGGAGGGUCACAUACACGUGUUUUGCUUGUGUGCCUCCCACCUUCGAUCAGGGAGGAAAACUCCUUCCCAGAGACCUCCCAGCAGUGUUCUGUUAGCACCGCCUCAGUGGCAGAGGGGGCUUGGAACAUGAGCCUCUAGCGUUUUCACUCUAGAAUGGGAGGAGGGCAAAAGGGAAGGGGGAUUUGGAGAAGAGCCAGACAACAGUGUUUGCCAUGGGAUCAUGCCUAUUGAUCUUAGUCCUUCAACCUCCAAUUUGAAAACAGAGAUGAACCAUCUGUUUUUCCCUUCCUGGGGAGUUGCAAGUUAUGAAUAAAUUAUGCUGCCAGA
Molecule: long non-coding RNA, 746 nt
Filed under: Lynx pardinus (Iberian lynx)
Lineage: Eukaryota; Metazoa; Chordata; Mammalia; Carnivora; Felidae
Source: RNAcentral